RNAcentral lists this ribosomal RNA (253 nucleotides) under uncultured bacterium. RNAcentral's name for it is "partial 16S ribosomal RNA". It matches the Rfam family "Bacterial small subunit ribosomal RNA", at positions 524 to 776 of the family's 1533-position model. The record is from RNAcentral.
UACGUAGGGGGCAAGCGUUGUCCGGAAUUAUUGGGCGUAAAGCGCGUGUAGGCGGCCAGAUAAGUCCGCUGUGAAAGUCAAAGGCUCAACCUUUGAAAGCCGGUGGAUACUGUGAGGCUAGAGUACGGAAGAGGCGAGUGGAAUUCCUGGUGUAGCGGUGGAAUGCGCAGAUAUCAGGAGGAACACCAAUAGCGAAGGCAGCUCGCUGGGACGUUACUGACACUGAGGCGCGAAAGCGUGGGGAGCGAACAGG